RNAcentral lists this ribosomal RNA (305 nucleotides) under uncultured bacterium. RNAcentral describes it as "partial 16S ribosomal RNA". It matches the Rfam family "Bacterial small subunit ribosomal RNA", at positions 508 to 807 of the family's 1533-position model. The record is from RNAcentral.
ACAGCAGUCGCCGCGGUAAUACGAAGGGUGCAAGCGUUAAUCGGAAUUACUGGGCAUAAAGCGUGCGCAGGCGGUUUGUUAAGUCAGAUGUGAAAUCCCCGAGCUUAACUCGGGAACUGCAUUUGAAACUGGCAAGCUAGAGUCUUGUAGAGGGGGGUAGAAUUCCAGGUGUAGCGGUGAAAUGCGUAGAGAUCUGGAGGAAUACCGGCGGCGAAGGCGGCCCCCUGGACAAAGACUGACGCUCAGGUGCGAAAGCGUGGGGAGCAAACAGGAUUAGAUACCCGCGUAGUCCCUGUCUCUUAUAC